CGUCCUCCCAUCCCUCGCCCCUUUUCCCUCUGAAACCUCCCACGCUGCAUCUUCUCUUCUCGCUUCCCCGCUGCCAUGCGCCAACCCCGCCGUCACCCGUCGAUCCGGCUGCGGCGCUGCGCACUUCCACCCUCGUUGCCCUCUCUAGUCCAGCAACAUCACCUGCUCCCUUCAACUCCCAUCUCGAUCUUCAUGGCCCUCAGAUCUAGCAGCCCUCGGCCACGAUGCUGCCGGAUCUGGUCGGCUUGGCCUCAUCGCCCCAACCAAUAGGUGCUCGACGCCACUCCUCACGAUUCAGGAACGCAGCGGUCUUCUUCAUCAGCUCUAUAUCUCUCCACUUCCUACGCCAUGUAUCGGCCAUCUGCCCUUUCUUGAAGCUCCUCCUCAUCCAAGUGGCCACCUGAUGUUGCCGAGUGGACCACGCUCACUCGCGCCUUCGCCCACCAGUACCAGGAUUUUCUCGUGUCUUUCAAGUUGAAUACCGGGGAGAUUGAGGAGAUGGUUCCAUGGCGGGCUACUAUGGUGGUGAGGUUCACGUUCUACAGUGAGGCCAUGGCCAUCGUUGUUUGCAUGUCUGUUUAGGUGGCAGUUGGGACUAUCUGAAGAGCAAUAAUGUAAUGCUUUUGAGCUGAGGUACAUGAAGUCGUAUUUGAAAGCGGACGAGAUGAUGUUUGUCAACACGAAACUGAAAAGGUUGGUCCAUCAUCUCUUAGCCAUACAUCCCAUCUAGUUAUGCGCCAAUUUAGUUCUAGACAACAUGCGCAUGGAGAAACAUAUAUGCGAAAAUACAUGUAUCUUCAUCACUACCAUUGAGUUCUGAACUUCUAAUAAGAACAUUGCCCUGUCAAUCGACUUCCUUGUUUUGAGACCUUCCUUUUUUUAUUUGAGAUCUUGUGUCUGAGGCACACUGACCACUUGGCCAGCGUACAAUGCCUUUGAAGACCAUGCUAUACAGAUAACUUGCUUUGGGACCUUCUUUUUUUAGCUGAUUUCUUAGCUUACCACAUUGCCUAGGUGAUACUACUGUACUAUAUAUAUAAUGUAUGCACCUGCUUGUGCCCUAUUUUCCUAGAUGUGGCUCAUAACUGAGAUAUCUAUCUAUGGACUAGCUGUUUUCUUUACACUAAAUCUAUCUUAAUUACGGUGCGAGGGGUAAAAUUUUGUUGAACUCAUAUAGGAAUUUUUUUUCCUAUAUCACAUGGCCAUCUUGGUCUAACUAUAGCACAUGGGGCUUCUGGAGAUAUGAUGAAUAUAGUUAAUUAGAAAAUUGUCAUGUGCUUGGAAUUAUAUGAAUGUUACAAGUAAUUCAAAAAGCAUGAUGUGUUCUGAACUGUUGCAAACUUAUUAUAAAAUUGAAAUCACUGUGGUUUAUUGGUAUAUUAUUUCUGUAGUAUACAGAGCAACGUGUAGUCCUCAUUCUUUAUUAUUUUGAGUAUGUGUUCCUGCUGAUUCAUGUUACCCUGAAAAUUGCAUGUGAAGGAUCAAAAGGUAAAUGUGUAGUCAUACUGCUAGAUAGCAGCUAACUAGUCAGUUAAAAGAUCUAAAGUUUGUCACUAUAUGCUCAAUUAAAUUUCAACUACAUUACAUCAUUUUCAUCUCCCUUACAACUAGUCUAGUGAAACAAUACUGGAGGAAUCGUGAUCUAUGGCAAGGGUGAUGAUGUCUAUGGCGAUGAUUGUCAUGAUCUACAUGGCGAUGAGCAUUAUGAUCCAUGAAGGGUGAUGAGUCUAAUGAUCUUUCUUCAGGACAUGCAACAAAGUGAACUUCUGAAGUUUUGGUCAAUUUUAGCUUAGGCAUAAUGCUUGGACCAUUAUAUAUUAGUUACUAUUUUGUUUUGCAUUUCAAACUUCCUAGAUAGAUCAUGAUGAACAGUGUAAUUUGGAUGCACGUCAUUAGGCUUAUGGUAUUUUGGAAGUUGCACUAAAUAUAAUAUAUGUU
Long non-coding RNA from Triticum dicoccoides, 1938 nucleotides. RefSeq lists it as uncharacterized. The record is from RefSeq and is a predicted model, not a curated record. The transcript has 3 exons. Lineage: Eukaryota; Viridiplantae; Streptophyta; Magnoliopsida; Poales; Poaceae.